This is an unclassified non-coding RNA of Fukomys damarensis (Damara mole-rat), 196 nucleotides long. The record is from Ensembl. NCBI's taxonomy places the organism in Eukaryota, Metazoa, Chordata, Mammalia, Rodentia, Bathyergidae.
UGGCAAGGUUGACAUAGCCUAAUUUGUCUGCCUACUAGGUGAAUGGGGCUGCCAGUCUGGCAGUUUGCGUUGGCAAUAAAUCACUAGUAGACAUUUUAUUUAAAAAUUGGCAUGGCUUGGGGGAGGUAAAGGAUUGUCAAUUUGUUUUUAUUUUGAGGCCAGGCAUGGUCAUAACACACACAGGCCACCUGGAAAC